UACGAAGGGGGCUAGCGUUGUUCGGAUUUACUGGGCGUAAAGCGCAUGUAGGCGGGUCGUUAAGUUGGGGGUGAAAUCCCGAGGCUCAACCUCGGAACUGCCUUCAAAACUGGCGGACUGGAGCAAGAUAGAGGCAAGUGGAAUUGCGAGUGUAGAGGUGAAAUUCGUAGAUAUUCGCAGGAACACCAGUGGCGAAGGCGACUUGCUGGAUCUUUGCUGACGCUGAGAUGCGAAAGCUUGGGGAGCAAACGGG
This 253-nucleotide ribosomal RNA is filed under the name uncultured bacterium. RNAcentral describes it as "partial 16S ribosomal RNA". It matches the Rfam family "Bacterial small subunit ribosomal RNA", at positions 524 to 776 of the family's 1533-position model. The record is from RNAcentral.